UACGUAGGGUGCGAGCGUUAAUCGGAAUUACUGGGCGUAAAGCGUGCGCAGGCGGUUUUGCAAGACAGAUGUGAAAUCCCCGGGCUUAACCUGGGAACUGCAUUUGUGACUGCAAGGCUAGAGUGUGUCAGAGGGAGGUGGAAUUCCGCGUGUAGCAGUGAAAUGCGUAGAUAUCGAGAGGAACACCAGUGGCGAAGGCGAGUCCCUGGACAAAACCUGACACUGAGGCACGAAAGCUAGGGGAGCAAACAGG
This 253-nucleotide ribosomal RNA is filed under the name uncultured bacterium. RNAcentral's name for it is "partial 16S ribosomal RNA". It matches the Rfam family "Bacterial small subunit ribosomal RNA", at positions 524 to 776 of the family's 1533-position model. The record is from RNAcentral.